GAAAAGUUUGAUCCUAGCUUCAAAUUGAAUUUUUUAUAUUUUACACAUGUAUGUAAAGGCAGUGUUUAAGAUUAUUAGAUAUUUGAAAUAAAAAUUUAAUUUCGGCCGGAUGACGGAGGGUGCCAGCAUCUGCGGUUACACCUGAGGCUUACAUUUAAGUUUAGUUUAUUUAAUUUUUAAUUUCAAUUAUUUAUAUUCUUUUUUUAUGGUGAAAUGUUAAUUUAGUUAAAUUUUAUUUAAAAAUUUAAUUAUUAGUUUAUAGAAAUUGACCAGGAUUAGAUACCCUGUUAUUUUAAAUAUUUAUUAAGUAGUAAUUUUAUGAAACUUAAAAGAUUUGGCGGUAGAAUAUCUUUUCAGAGGAACCUGUAUUUUAAUAGAAGCUACACUAUUGGUUUUACUUAAAUUUAUUUUAUAUACCGCUGUAUUAAAAAUUAAUUAAUAAUUUAAUUUAAAUAGAUAAWAUUUUAUUUAAUUCAAGUCAAGGUUUAAUUUAUAUUUAAGUUAAUAUGUGUUACGAUAAUUAAAAUUAUGGUUUAAAUUGGAUUUGAGAGUAAUUUUUAAUUUUAGAUUUGAAUUUAGUUCUGUUUUAUGUACAUAUCGCCCGUCGCUCUAGUUUUAAAAUUAGAUAAGUCGUAACAAAGUAGAUGUUUUGGAAAAAGUAUCUAG
RNAcentral lists this non-coding RNA (666 nucleotides) under Lepidocyrtus fimetarius. Lineage: Eukaryota; Metazoa; Arthropoda; Collembola; Entomobryomorpha; Entomobryidae. The record is from RNAcentral.